GAUGAACGCUGGCGGCGUGCCUAAUACAUGCAAGUCGAGCGAACGGACGAGAAGCUUGCUUCUCUGAUGUUAGCGGCGGACGGGUGAGUAACACGUGGAUAACCUACCUAUAAGACUGGGAUAACUUCGGGAAACCGGAGCUAAUACCGGAUAAUAUUUUGAACCGCAUGGUUCAAAAGGGAAAGACGGUCUUGCUGGCACUUAUAGAUGGAUCCGCGCUGCAUUAGCUAGUUGGUAAGGUAACGGCUUACCAAGGCAACGAUGCAUAGCCGACCUGAGAGGGUGAUCGGCCACACUGGAACUGAGACACGGUCCAGACUCCUACGGGAGGCAGCAGUAGGGAAUCUUCCGCAAUGGGCGAAAGCCUGACGGAGCAACGCCGCGUGAGUGAUGAAGGUCUUCGGAUCGUAAAACUCUGUUAUUAGGGAAGAACAUAUGUGUAAGUAACUGUGCACAUCUUGACGGUACCUAAUCAGAAAGCCACGGCUAACUACGUG
Molecule: ribosomal RNA, 497 nt
Filed under: uncultured bacterium
Lineage: Bacteria
Description: partial 16S ribosomal RNA
Rfam family: Bacterial small subunit ribosomal RNA
Source: RNAcentral